This is a non-coding RNA of Petromyzon marinus (sea lamprey), 1652 nucleotides long. The record is from RefSeq and is a predicted model, not a curated record. Lineage: Eukaryota; Metazoa; Chordata; Hyperoartia; Petromyzontiformes; Petromyzontidae.
CUUCAUCAGCAGCAACAGCAGCCUCAGCAUCAUCAUCAUCAUCAGUUCUUGCCCUGUGGAGUUGGAGGGGCAGAGGGAGAGAUUUGUCUGAUGGCCACCGCCGUGAGGUUGGAGAGUGACGGCUACCGCUGAUUGGCUGGGAGCCGACCAAUCGGGUCGUCGCGACCCGGCGUCACAAGGGACCCCCUGCAGUUUGACCAAUCACAGAGACUCUCACCGCGUGACUCCGCUCGGACCAAUCAGAGCCUCACACACACCGUGACUCCACUCCGACCAAUCACAGAGACUCUCACUCUCACCACGUGACUCCACUCCGACCAAUCACAGAGACUCUCACACACACCGUGACUCCACUCCGACCAAUCACACAGACUCACACACCGUGUGACUCCACUCCGACCAAUCACAGCGACUCUCACCACGUGACUCCACUCCGACGAAUCACAGAGACCCUCACACACCGUGACUCCAUUCCGACCAAUCACAGAGACUCUCACCGUGUGACUCCGCUCCGACCAAUCACAGAGACUCACACCCCGUGACUCCACUCCGACCAAUCAGAGACACUCUCACCGCGUGACUCCACACCGACCAAUCACAGAGACUCUCACCACGUGACUCAAUUCCGACCAAUCACAGAGACUCACACACCGUGCGACUCCACUCCGACCAAUCACAGAGACUCACACACCGUGCGACUCCAUUCCGACCAAUCACAGAGACUCACACACCGUGUGACUCCACUCCGACUAAUCACAGAGACUCACCGCGUGACUCCACUCCGACCAAUCACAGAGACUCUCACACACCGUGUGACUCCCGCUCCGACCAAUCACAGAAACUCUCACACACACCGCGUGACUCCGCUCCGACCAAUCACAGAGACUCUCACACCCUGUGACUCCACUCCGACCAAUCACAGACACUCUCACCGCGUGACUCCACACCGACCAAUCACAGAGACUCUCACACACCGCGUGACUCCACUCCGACCAAUCACAGAGACUCUCACACACCGCGUGACUCCGCUCCGACCAAUCACAGAGACUCUCACACACCGCGUGACUCCGCUCCGACCAAUCACAGAGACUCUCACACACCGCGUGACUCCGCUCCGACCAAUCACAGAGACUUUCACACACCGCGUGACUCCACUCCGACCAAUCACAAAGACUCUCACACACCGUGUGACUCCACUCCGACCAAUCACAGAGACUCUCACAACCCGUGACUCCACUCCGACCAAUCACAGACACUCUCACCGCGUGACUAUGCACCGACCAAUCACAGAGACUCUCACACACACCGUGUGACUCCACUCCGACCAAUCACAGACUUUCACCGUGUGACUCCACUCCGACCAAUCACAGAGACUCACACACCACAUGACUCCACUCCGACCAAUCACAGAGACUCUCACACACCGUGUGACUUCCGCUCCGACCAAUCACAGAGACUAUCACACCGUGUGACUCCACUCCGACCAAUCACAGAGACUCUCACACCGCGUGACUCCGCUCCAACCAAUCACAGAAACUCACACACCGCGUGAGUCCACUCCGACCAAUCACAGAGACUCUCACACACCGUGUGACUCCGCACCGACCAAUCAUAGAGACUCUCACACACCCCGUGACUCCGCUCCGACCAAU